Molecule: ribosomal RNA, 1026 nt
Filed under: Salmonella enterica
Lineage: Bacteria; Pseudomonadati; Pseudomonadota; Gammaproteobacteria; Enterobacterales; Enterobacteriaceae
Also listed under: 1 other name
Description: partial 23S ribosomal RNA
Rfam family: Bacterial large subunit ribosomal RNA
Source: RNAcentral
AGACCCGAAACCCGGUGAUCUAGCCAUGGGCAGGUUGAAGGUUGGGUAACACUAACUGGAGGACCGAACCGACUAAUGUUGAAAAAUUAGCGGAUGACCUGUGGCUGGGGGUGAAAGGCCAAUCAAACCGGGAGAUAGCUGGUUCUCCCCGAAAGCUAUUUAGGUAGCGCCUCGUGAAUUCAUCUCCGGGGGUAGAGCACUGUUUCGGCUAGGGGGCCAUCCCGGCUUACCAACCCGAUGCAAACUGCGAAUACCGGAGAAUGUUAUCACGGGAGACACACGGCGGGUGCUAACGUCCGUCGUGAAGAGGGAAACAACCCAGACCGCCAGCUAAGGUCCCAAAGUCAUGGUUAAGUGGGAAACGAUGUGGGAAGGCCCAGACAGCCAGGAUGUUGGCUUAGAAGCAGCCAUCAUUUAAAGAAAGCGUAAUAGCUCACUGGUCGAGUCGGCCUGCGCGGAAGAUGUAACGGGGCUAAACCAUGCACCGAAGCUGCGGCAGCGACACUAUGUGUUGUUGGGUAGGGGAGCGUUCUGUAAGCCUGUGAAGGUGUGCUGUGAGGCAUGCUGGAGGUAUCAGAAGUGCGAAUGCUGACAUAAGUAACGAUAAAGCGGGUGAAAAGCCCGCUCGCCGGAAGACCAAGGGUUCCUGUCCAACGUUAAUCGGGGCAGGGUGAGUCGACCCCUAAGGCGAGGCCGAAAGGCGUAGUCGAUGGGAAACGGGUUAAUAUUCCCGUACUUGGUGUUACUGCGAAGGGGGGACGGAGAAGGCUAUGUUGGCCGGGCGACGGUUGUCCCGGUUUAAGCGUGUAGGUGUGUGUUCCAGGUAAAUCCGGUUCACUUUAACACUGAGGCGUGAUGACGAGGCACUACGGUGCUGAAGCAACAAAUGCCCUGCUUCCAGGAAAAGCCUCUAAGCAUCAGGUAACAUCAAAUCGUACCCCAAACCGACACAGGUGGUCAGGUAGAGAAUACCAAGGCGCUUGAGAGAACUCGGGUGAAGGAACUAGGCAAAAUGGUGCCGUAACU